CGUAGGGUGCGAGCGUUAAUCGGAAUUACUGGGCGUAAAGCGUGCGCAGGCGGUUUUGUAAGCCAGAUGUGAAAUCCCCGGGCUUAACCUGGGAAUGGCAUUUGGGACUGCAAGGCUGGAGUGCGGCAGAGGAGACUGGAAUUCCUGGUGUAGCAGUGAAAUGCGUAGAUAUCAGGAGGAACACCGAUGGCGAAGGCAGGUCUCUGGGCUGACACUGACGCUCAUGCACGAAAGCGUGGGGAGCAAACAGGAUUAGAUACCCUGGUAGUCCACGCCCUAAACGAUGUCGACUGGUUGUUGGGGGUUUGACACCCUCAGUAACGAAGCUAACGCGUGAAGUCGACCGCCUGGGGAGUACGGCCGCAAGGUU
This 370-nucleotide ribosomal RNA is filed under the name uncultured organism. RNAcentral's name for it is "bacterial SSU rRNA". It matches the Rfam family "Bacterial small subunit ribosomal RNA", at positions 526 to 895 of the family's 1533-position model. The record is from RNAcentral.